Oreochromis niloticus (Nile tilapia) is the source of this 159-nucleotide long non-coding RNA. RefSeq lists it as uncharacterized. The record is from RefSeq and is a predicted model, not a curated record. The transcript is spliced from 2 exons. NCBI's taxonomy places the organism in Eukaryota, Metazoa, Chordata, Actinopteri, Cichliformes, Cichlidae.
UCUACCAACAAGGACAGCUCACCAGUGGGAACUGAUAGAUAAGACUGCUGAUGUGCUCUCAUCCAUUGAAGAGCUGACCAGAAACGUGAACAGAAAGACUGCACCUGAUGGGAUCCCUGCCAUAACAGAUGUGUUCUGUCCAGUGAAGGCAGUGGAGAA